Megalobrama amblycephala (Wuchang bream) is the source of this 1237-nucleotide long non-coding RNA. RefSeq lists it as uncharacterized. The transcript is spliced from 3 exons. Lineage: Eukaryota; Metazoa; Chordata; Actinopteri; Cypriniformes; Xenocyprididae. The record is from RefSeq and is a predicted model, not a curated record.
UUUUUUUGGAGUGUUAAAUAUAGUUUGCAUUGUCUGCUGGUAAAAAAUUAUGUAAUAAUGUGGAUUUUUGUCUCAGCAGAUUCCAAGCAGAUCCAAUCAAAGCUAAGAUGCUUCAGUCUUGACCAGCCCUGUCAGCUUUAAGUGUACCAGCAGGCUGGUUGGGAAGAAGAGUGAUUUGAGAGAUUUUGUGCAACAGACAAAGGCUUCUGAUGAUGAGGACAGCAUACGGCCUAGAAAGUGAAGAUAUGGCACAGCAUCCACUGCCCUUCCACCUCCAUCCAUCCAUCCACUGUCAGAAUCAUCUUGGAGCAGAAUUUUGUGAUGGUUUUUUGUCAUUCUCUAGAAACUGAAUUUAAAUAAAUUGUGGAUUAAAAAGUAAGAAUUCUUCAAAAUAAUUUAAAUUAAAAAGAUAUUAAAGUCUUAAAAUUAAUGCAAUAAAAUGUGCGCAAUUUAAUAUUUUAAGUUACCUAAAUCAAUAAAUUUUAACUAUUUUAACAGAUGUUAGUUCAAUGAACUAAAACUUUUUAUUGCAAUACUAUUGUAAUGUAGCGCUGAAGCAACACAAAACAUUAUCCACGAUUGUGGCUGUCAUAUUAAUAACAUUUUAAUUGUCUACACUAUUGUAUUAAAAUGUUGUGAAUUCUAGUUGCUGUGUUUCGGCGUGUUGUUAGAACGCAUCCACAACAGAGCUAUUCUGACAACAUUACUAGUUAAGUUCAUGCGUGCAUGAUUGUGCAAAUAUAAGUUACAAUAUUAUGUUUAUCUUGUAUAAAUAUAUAUGAAUUACCUUAUAUAGGAUAACUAAGCCCAAAGAAUUCAAAACGUUAUAUUACAAAUAUAUACGAUUAUAAUAUGUAUAAAUAAGACAGUCCCAAUCAUUAAUAAGCUAUAGAUGAUCAUCAGUACAAUAAAGCUCCGCGGGUUAUUUACCUCAACGAAACACAUCCUUUAUGAGAUUAAUCAGACACUUAUACUUCAUAAAUUUAAUAUUACAAGUUUUAUCUGCACAAAAUGACGCGAAUGCACAGGUGCAGCUUGAACUAAUAAAUGUUUAACACGCUGAAACAACAACAGAGAAUUCACAACAUUUUAUUACAAGUGUUGUAACACUCAGCCUAUAUCAGGCAGUUUACACAAUGUCAACUGGUUCUUUAACCUUUUGUUUUUUAACGUGUUUGAAUAAACGUCUCAACAAAAUAAACAGAAUAAAUGUCAACCCAAAGUGUAUUAUACAAGA